Molecule: ribosomal RNA, 496 nt
Filed under: uncultured bacterium
Lineage: Bacteria
Description: partial 16S ribosomal RNA
Rfam family: Bacterial small subunit ribosomal RNA
Source: RNAcentral
GAUGAACGCUGGCGGCGUGCCUAAUACAUGCAAGUCGAGCGAACGGACGAGAAGCUUGCUUCUCUGAUGUUAGCGGCGGACGGGUGAGUAACACGUGGAUAACCUACCUAUAAGACUGGGAUAACUUCGGGAAACCGGAGCUAAUACCGGAUGAUAUUUUGAACCGCAUGGUUCAAAAGUGAAAGACGGUCUUGCUGUCACUUAUAGAUGGAUCCGCGCUGCAUUAGCUAGUUGGUAAGGUAACGGCUUACCAAGGCAACGAUGCAUAGCCGACCUGAGAGGGUGAUCGGCCACACUGGAACUGAGACACGGUCCAGACUCCUACGGGAGGCAGCAGUAGGGAAUCUUCCGCAAUGGGCGAAAGCCUGACGGAGCAACGCCGCGUGAGUGAUGAAGGUCUUCGGAUCGUAAAACUCUGUUAUUAGGGAAGAACAUAUGUGUAAGUAACUGUGCACAUCUGGACGGUACCUAAGCAGAAAGCCACGGCUAACUACGU